UGCAAGUCGAACGGUCUUUCUAUGGAAGCUUGCUUCCACUGAGAAGAUAGUGGCGAACGGGUGAGUAACGACUGGGUAACCUGCCCAUAAGAGGGGGAUAACAUCCGGAAACGGUGCUAAUACCGCAUAGUUUCUUGAUCGCAUGAUUGAGAAAGGAAAGACGGUCUUUGUGCUGUCGCUUAUGGAUGGACCCGCGGCGUAUUAGUUAGUUGGUGAGGUAACGGCUCACCAAGACGAUGAUACGUAGCCGACCUGAGAGGUGAUCGGCCACAUUGGGACUGAGACACGGCCCAAACUCCUACGGGAGGCAGCAGUAGGGAAUCUUCCGCAAUGGACGAAAGUCUGACGGAGCAACGCCGCGUGAGUGAAAGAAGGUUUUCGGAUCGUAAAACUCUGUUGUCAGAGAAGAACAAGUUGGAGAGUAACUGCUCCAGCCUUGACGGUAUCUGACCAGAAAGCCACGGCUAACUACGUGCCAGCCGCGGC
This 486-nucleotide ribosomal RNA is filed under the name uncultured bacterium. RNAcentral's name for it is "bacterial SSU rRNA". It matches the Rfam family "Bacterial small subunit ribosomal RNA", at positions 56 to 518 of the family's 1533-position model. The record is from RNAcentral.